Molecule: ribosomal RNA, 581 nt
Filed under: uncultured bacterium
Lineage: Bacteria
Description: bacterial SSU rRNA
Rfam family: Bacterial small subunit ribosomal RNA
Source: RNAcentral
CCUGAACGCUGGCGGCGUGGCUAAGACAUGCAAGUCGUACGGUGUAGCAAUACACAGUGGCGAACGGGUGAGUAAUGUAUCGCUAAUGUGCCCCGGACUCUGAGAUAGCUGCCUGAAAGGGCAGGUAAUACCAGAUGAUAUAACUUUACCGCAUGGUAAAGUUCUCAAAGGUCCGCCGGUCUGGGAGCAGGCGAUAUCGUAUCAGCUAGUUGGUGAGGUAACGGCUCACCAAGGCGACGACGCGUAGCCGGACUGAGAGGUUGGCCGGCCACAUUGGGACUGAGACACUGCCCAGACUCCUACGGGGGGCUGCAGUAACGAAUCUUCCGCAAUGCACGAAAGUGUGACGGAGCGACGCCGCGUGUAGGACGAAGCCCUUCGGGGUGUAAACUACUGUCAGGGGUUAGAAAGUUCUGAUCAACCCCAGAGGAAGGCACGGCUAACUCUGUGCCAGCAGCCGCGGUAAGACAGAGGUGCCAAGCGUUAGGCGGAAUCACUGGGCUUAAAGCGUGUGUAGGCGGAUCGUUAAGUACCUUGUGAAAUCCCACGGCUCAACCGUGGAACUGCUCGGUAUACUGGCG